CCUACGGGAGGCAGCAGUGAGGAAUAUUGGUCAAUGGACGAGAGUCUGAACCAGCCAAGUAGCGUGAAGGAUAACUGCCCUAUGGGUUUUAACCUUCUUUUAGCGAGAAAUAAAACGAUACCCGGUUGCCUGUUGGCAUUUACUUUCUAAAUAGGGUUCGGCUAACUCGGUGCCAGCAGCGGCGUUAAUACGGAGGAUCCGAGCGUUAUCCGGAUUUAUUGGGUUUAAAGGGAGAGUAGAUGGGUGGUUAAGUAAGGUGUAAAAGUUUGCGGUUCAAAGGGAAAAUUGCAAUUGAUACUGGCAGUCUUGAGUACAGUUGAGGUAGGCGGAAUGUGUGGUGUAGCGGUGAAAUGCAUAGAUAUCACGAAGAACACCGAUUGCGAAGGCAGCUUACUAAACUGUGACUGACAUUGAUGCUCGAAAGCGUGGGUAUCAAACAGGAUUAGAUACCCUGGUAGUC
Molecule: ribosomal RNA, 460 nt
Filed under: uncultured bacterium
Lineage: Bacteria
Description: partial 16S ribosomal RNA
Rfam family: Bacterial small subunit ribosomal RNA
Source: RNAcentral